Hippoglossus stenolepis (Pacific halibut) is the source of this 987-nucleotide long non-coding RNA. RefSeq lists it as uncharacterized. The transcript is spliced from 2 exons. NCBI's taxonomy places the organism in Eukaryota, Metazoa, Chordata, Actinopteri, Pleuronectiformes, Pleuronectidae. The record is from RefSeq and is a predicted model, not a curated record.
UAUCUCCUCUCUCUCUCCUUCUUUUUCUCCUUCCGUCUCUCGAAGGGGAAACUUGGUGACCAGUCCUUUGCCACGUUGAGCCUCCAGCCGGUCCACAUUGCUCACUACCGGAGCGUUCUUCCUGGUUUUUUUUGGUCUCGGAAGCUUCAGAAGACAAAUCCAAAAGUAGAAUUUGAAUGUAAUGGGCUCCAAACAAAAGGCUGAGGGGAGAUGACCUGGCGCCAAUUAGCCGAUAAGGAGACAAAUCAAGAAUCCGCCAAGAAGAAGAGACGUCAUUCAAGACGGUCGCGAUGUGAAGAGGUGAAAGGAGAUCGCCCGGCCACAGCCCCCCUCAUCCAUCCCUCACAAUGCUGUUUCUCCUCCAGCCGGCUCAAUCGGCCCGAUCAGCACUUUGCCACAGUCGGACUGUUAGAGCAGGAGGAGCUGGACUCAAGAGUCUGUUGCUGGAGUCGCAGUGAGUACAGCUGUGUGUGUGUGCAUAUGCGUGUGUGUGCAUGGGUAUAAAAAACUUCUCCACAGCAUCCUUCAGUCGCCCAGCCCGCCUGCCCAGUGUUCAGACUACCUGUUCAGGAAGUAGUGGUUGUACAGUAGUCUGCACAUUGGUUAGGCUGGCUGGGGAAGCACGGGACGACUCACGCAAGAAGACACAAAAAGAAAAGCGAGACGGCACUCCAAAAGAGCAUCCGGCAGGCGGGAGCACAUCAGGGUGUGGGAACACGCAGCACCACCCCUCGUCCAUCUGGACAAGCCCAGGCACAAGCCUAAAUAAAGCAUCCGAAGGCCCCACCACAGAGGCCUGGCCCUCGUCUGCCGUGGAUUUAUGAAAGACGGACACAUAAAUUCUGUCAGCUAUAAAGAGACAUGUGGUUACGGUUUAUCUCGCUUUGCAGAUUUCUGUGUAUAACUUGAACUAAGAGUGAAGUCUGAUGAAGAUAUGAGUGUAACAAAAAAAGUUGAAAUAAAAGAUGCCUGGUUAUCUAUUUUCUA